GGUAUAGUUCUUCGGAACUAGAGACCGGCGCACGGGUGCGUAACGCGUAUGCAAUCUACCUUUUACAGAGGGAUAGCCCAGAGAAAUUUGGAUUAAUACCUCAUAGUAUAGAUCAACCGCAUGGUUGGCCUAUUAAAGUUACAACGGUAAAAGAUGAGCAUGCGUCCCAUUAGCUAGUUGGUAAGGUAACGGCUUACCAAGGCGACGAUGGGUAGGGGUCCUGAGAGGGAGAUCCCCCACACUGGUACUGAGACACGGACCAGACUCCUACGGGAGGCAGCAGUGAGGAAUAUUGGACAAUGGGCGCAAGCCUGAUCCAGCCAUGCCGCGUGCAGGAUGACGGUCCUAUGGAUUGUAAACUGCUUUUGCACAGGAAGAAACAACUCUACGUGUAGAGUCUUGACGGUACUGUGAGAAUAAGGAUCGGCUAACUCCGUGCCAGCAGCCGCGGUAAUACGGAGGAUCCAAGCGUUAUCCGGAAUCAUUGGGUUUAAAGGGUCCGUAAGCGGUUUAGUAAGUCAGUGGUGAAAGCCCAUCGCUCAACGGUGGAACGGCCAUUGAUACUGCUAGAC
RNAcentral lists this ribosomal RNA (572 nucleotides) under uncultured Bacteroidota bacterium. Its description in RNAcentral is "bacterial SSU rRNA". It matches the Rfam family "Bacterial small subunit ribosomal RNA", at positions 66 to 641 of the family's 1533-position model. The record is from RNAcentral. Lineage: Bacteria; Pseudomonadati; Bacteroidota.